This 253-nucleotide ribosomal RNA is filed under the name uncultured bacterium. RNAcentral describes it as "partial 16S ribosomal RNA". It matches the Rfam family "Bacterial small subunit ribosomal RNA", at positions 524 to 776 of the family's 1533-position model. The record is from RNAcentral.
UACAGAGGGUGCGAGCGUUGUUCGGAAUUAUUGGGCGUAAAGCGCUGGUAGGUGGCUUGUUAAGUCGCGUGUGAAAGCUCCAGGCUCAACCUGGAAAGUGCGCGCGAAACUGGCGAGCUUGAGUGUCGGAGAGGAUCGCGGAAUUCCGGGUGUAGAGGUGAAAUUCGUAGAUAUCCGGAGGAACACCGGAGGCGAAGGCGGCGAUCUGGAAGACCACUGACACUGAGCAGCGAAAGCGUGGGGAGCAAACAGG